RNAcentral lists this ribosomal RNA (387 nucleotides) under uncultured Pleosporales. RNAcentral describes it as "bacterial SSU rRNA". It matches the Rfam family "Eukaryotic small subunit ribosomal RNA", at positions 21 to 375 of the family's 1831-position model. The record is from RNAcentral. Lineage: Eukaryota; Fungi; Ascomycota; Dothideomycetes; Pleosporales.
UGUAGUCAUAUGCUUGUCUCAAAGAUUAAGCCAUGCAUGUCUAAGUAUAAGCAAUUAUACCGUGAAACUGCGAAUGGCUCAUUAAAUCAGUUAUCGUUUAUUUGAUAGUACCUUACUACUUGGAUAACCGUGGUAAUUCUAGAGCUAAUACAUGCUGAAAACCCCGACUUACGAAGGGGUGUAUUUAUUAGAUAAAAAACCAACGCCCUUCGGGGCUUCUUGGUGAUUCAUGAUAACUUUACGGAUCGCAUGGCCUUGCGCCGGCGACGGUUCAUUCAAAUUUCUGCCCUAUCAACUUUCGAUGGUAAGGUAUUGGCUUACCAUGGUUUCAACGGGUAACGGGGAAUGGGGCGGGGGCGGCGGGCCGGGCGCGGGGCGCGGCGGGCG